GUCACAGAGCGCGAUGUUUGAACUGAGUGUUCGACGGUUAAUCUUGCGCUGCUUCACUUUCUUCAUUUGUUUCCACAUCUGCAGCUGCUGGAUCCUCCAGAAAUGUUGCUGCAGAGUCAGAGAUGUGCUGCUGAAAAGUCACGUACAUCACUGGUAAGGUUUACGAUGAGCAAUUACUUGCAUCGGAAAGCAGAUAAGUGUCGUAGGGGAAAAGUACAGUAUUUCACUGCAGCAGUGGUUUUCAGUUUUGAGAGAACUAAGUGUUGUGCAGUACAAGUAAGAGUUGCAGAGUAUAUGUAAGAGUAAUAAAGUACAGGUAAGUGUUGUAUAGUAAAGGUAAGUGUUGUGUAGUACAGGUAAGAGAUGUAGAAUAUAUGUAAGAGUAAUAUAGUACAGGUUAGUGUUGUAUAGUAAAGGUAAGUGUUGUGUAGUACAGGUAAGAGAUGUAGAGUAUAAGAGUAAUAUAGUACAGGUUAGUGUUGUAUAGUAUAUGUAAGUGUUGUAUAGUAUAGGCACAUGUUGUAGAGUAUAUGUAGUUGUGCAGGCAGGUGGCCUCAAUAGCCAUUUAAAUUAGCUAAACCAAGCUAAAGGACAAAUUUGGCGAGCACUGAACCAUAGCUUUCUCAAUAUAAGGCCAUUAGUCAUAUAAGAGGCUUAAGGUUCGGCCCUGAGGUACCAGACUUGGCCAUGGCUUCUGAGAUACCUGUGGUGGCUGUCACUUCCAGGAGUCCCUGUAACAGCCUAUGCUCGCUGAGGUCCAUGUCAAGGCCAUUGCCUCCCUGAGGUCCCUGUCUUAGCCAACACUCCCUAAGGUCCCUGUGAUGGCCAAUGCCGCUUGAGGUCUCCCCUGUCAUGACCACAGCUUCCUGAGGUCCCUGUCACAGGCUGAGCGCCUAAGGUCCCUUUCAUUACCGCCAUCCAAAUAUGCCAACUUACUUGGCUGCUGACAAUAUAGUGCUGGCAAAGUGUUCCUGAGUCCAGUUAUCUGUCCUUGAGCCUCUGCUAGAAAACAUAGUACAAGAGCCACAACCCAGGUCCUCCUCAGCGCCACAGCCCAGACAUCCCUCAGUACUGCGGCUGCAGUACAGGCACCCGUCAGCGCUGCUGCGUCAGUCCAGGCACCCCUCAGCGCCGCGGCCACAGGUACCCCUCAGUGCACAGGUAAAGCCCAAGCAGCCCUAAGUUCAGCUGGCACAUCCCAGGCCCCUUCAGUGCCAUGCAUGACCACGGGACCAUCUCAGUGUCAUAUUCAGGCCAGUUGCUAAGGGGGGUUGUAGAGUACAGGUACGGGUUUUGGAGUGCAGGUAAGAGUUGUAGACUAAAGGUAAGCGUUUUAGACUAAAGGUACAAGUUCUAGAGUACAGGUAAGUUGUAGACUAAAGGUAAGAGUUGUAGACUUAAGGUUAGGGUGGCCAUAUGCACCGUUCAUAAAGGACAAGUCCCAGCAAGGAUUUUAAUAUUGCCUAAAAUAUCCAGGUUUUGGCUGUUUGCACUAUGCAGGUCAAAUGUUGUAUGACAUUCAUGAGAGCUAUAGAGAGCAGAGUAGACAGCUCCUUAUGCUUUUGAAUCGCUCUUGCACCUACUUUGGUGUCUUUUUUUGAUCGGCACACUUCAAGUUAAACGAACGAACAAAUACGUGCACAUAUGUGCAUUGCUUUGAUCAUUCCCUGUAGAUCUCAUCUUCUCACGCACUGCCCUAUGAUUGGUCGAUUAUGUACAAUACCUGCAUGUUAUUGGUAAAACUGCUUUGAAUGUUUUAGGCAUUAUUAAAAUCCUGGCCAGGACGUGUCCCAUAUAAACGGCACAUAUGGCCACCCUACUUUUUUAAGAGUUCAAGAGUACAGGUAAGAGUUGUAGACUAAAGGUAAGAGUUCAGGUAGGUCCUGUGAAAUACAGGUAAGAGCUGUAGAAUAAAGGUAAGUGUACAGGUAAGUCCUGUAGAAUACAAGUAAGAGUUAUAGACUAAAGUUAAGAUAUGUAAUGUACAGGUAAGAGUUGUAGACUAAAGUUAUAGCAGGUGAAGACUAAAGGUAAGAGUUCAGGUAGGUCAUGUGAAAUACAGGUAAGAGUUGUAUACUAAAUUUAAGAGUUGUAAAGUACAGGUAAGAGUUGUAGACUAAAGGUAAGAGUUGUAGACUAAAGUUAACAGGUGCAGACUGAAGGUAAGAGUUUUAGACUAAAGUUAACAGGUGCAGACUAAAGGUAAGAGUUCAGGUAGGUCCUGUGAAAUACAGGUAAGAGUUGAAGACUAAAGUUAAGAGUUGUAGAAUACAGGUAAGUCCUGUCGAAUAUAGGUAAGAGUUGUAGAAUACAGGUAAGUCCUGUAGAAUACAGGCAAGAGUUAUAUACUAAAGUUAAGAGUUGUAAAGUACAGGUAAGAGUUGUAGACUAAAGUUAACAGAUGGCGACUAAAGGUAAGAGUUGUAGACUUAAGUUAACAGGUGUAGACUAAAGGUAAGUGUUGUAGACUAAAGUUAACAGAUGCUGACUAAAGGUAAGUGUUGUAGACUCAAGUUAACAGGUGUAGACUAAAGGUAAGAGUUUAGGUACAGUAGGUCUUGUGAAAUACAUUUAAGAGUUGUAUACUAAAUUUAAGAGCUGUAGACUGAAGUUAAGAGUUGUAGACUAAAGCUAACGGUAAGAGCUGUACAAUAAAGGGAAGAGUACAGCUUAGUCCUGUCGAAUAUAGGUAAGAGUUAUAGAAAAAAGUUAAGACUUAUAGACUUAAGGUAAGAUUUGUAGACUAAAGGUAAGGGUUGUUGAAUACAGGUAAGAUUUGUAAAGUACAGGUAAGAGUUGUUGAAAACAGGUAAGUCCUGUAAAAUACAGGUAAGAGUUGUUCUCAAUAGCCAUUUUAGAAUUGGGCGGUUAUUUUGUUAAUUAUCAUCUAACCAUAAAUAUUAUAAAUCAAUUAGGCAGUAUUUUUAUAUUUGCCGACCAGAGGAGGAUGGGUCCCCCCUGAUGAGUCUUGGUUCCUCCCAAGGUUUCUGCCUACAUUUAAUUCUGUAGGGAGUUUUUCCUUGUCACUGUUGCCGUUGGCUUGCUCACUGGGGGUUUAAGGCGCUGUAAUACUGCCUUGAGGUUCCUGUAAUAUGGGCGUCUUUGAGGAGCCUCUGUUAAGUCCAACGCCCUCUUGAGGUCCCAUUCAUAACCAGUAAUAUUAUUGCCUAUAAUAUUAUUAUCUACAGUCAUAUUUAAUGUGUUGUGAAUGCAGUCUAAUUUGAAUGUAACUUUGUAGAAUGUAACUCUAGUUUGAAUGUAUUAUGAAGUAAUGGCAAAAAAAAAAAAAAAAAAAUAUAUUGUCUUGCAGUAGUCAGUAGUUUCCUUCUCUAGCAAAUAAGUAGGUCAGGUUAUUAAAUCAUUCAAAAAAACAAAACAAAAAAAAACUUAGGAUUUAGUAGUUUAGAACAGUCUGAUGAAUCUUUAAUCAACUAGUUAAUCACAAUUACUUAACCUUAGUAUAACAAAAUAACAUACACAGUGCGACCUAUGUCCGAUUCAAAAGCAAUCAACUACUUCAAAAACAUACAGAUCAGUGUAGCUCGAAUCACAUGCAAAUGACUCUUAUGAUUUGACUAUUUCAAUUAAUCAGUAAACACACACACACACACACACACACAAUCAGAGUUACCAGUGUAAAACAGUCUGAUGAAUCCUUCACUUAAUGAAGUUAGUUAAUCACAAUAACUUAAACUGGCUAUAAUGUAAUAACAUAUAGAGCAUGAGCAGUGUCCGAUUCACGAGCAAAUGGCUCUAAUGAUCUGGUUAUUUUAAUGACCACAUUGAGCAGCAAUGUCAGAGCCACAGCCUGAGAGCCUCAUGGUCACAGUACAGGUCCAGCUCCGCUCUACAACCAUGUCCUGGUCCACCGCAUUGCCGUAUCCAUGAUCAUAUUAUAGCAAUAAAACAAACCAUUGAAAAUAAACAAUGUAAAUAUAUUUUUUAAUAAAAAGUUAUUCUUCCACA
This is a long non-coding RNA of Cyprinus carpio carpio, 3966 nucleotides long. The record is from Ensembl. Lineage: Eukaryota; Metazoa; Chordata; Actinopteri; Cypriniformes; Cyprinidae.